RNAcentral lists this ribosomal RNA (407 nucleotides) under uncultured microorganism. Its description in RNAcentral is "bacterial SSU rRNA". It matches the Rfam family "Bacterial small subunit ribosomal RNA", at positions 509 to 917 of the family's 1533-position model. The record is from RNAcentral.
CAGCCGCCGCGGUAAUACGUAGGGGGCGAGCGUUACCCGGAUUCACUGGGCGUAAAGGGGGUGUAGGCGGCUCGGUAAGUCGGGUGUGAAAUCCCACGGCUCAACCGUGGAAUUGCGCCCGAAACUGCCGAGCUUGGGGCCGGUAGAGGGAGACGGAACUGCCGGUGUAGGGGUGAAAUCCGUAGAUAUCGGCAGGAACGCCGGUGGGGAAGCCGGUCUCCUGGGCCGCGCCCGACGCUGAGGCCCGAAAGCUAGGGGAGCAAACCGGAUUAGAUACCCGGGUAGUCCUAGCCAUAAACGAUGCCCACUAGGUGUGGGGGAGUAUUUCCUCCGUGCUGGAGCUAACGCGUUAAGUGGGCCGCCUGGGGAGUACGCCCGCAAGGGUGAAACUUAAAGGAAUUGGCGGG